ACACCUCAACUCUCACGGUUUGCCGUGAUGAGCUUGGACUUUGGAGGUUUUUGCUGGCCCACGGUCGGCUCCUCUCAAAUGAAUUAGCUUGCCAGUUUUCGGUGGCAUCACAGGUGUGAUAACUAUCUACGCUUGCGGUUUUCCACCAGGUAACCUCCAGUGAUGGAGGUUCGCUGGAGCUCACAAAUGUCUCUCCUUGCGAGGACGAUUUCUGAAC
RNAcentral lists this unclassified non-coding RNA (217 nucleotides) under uncultured Tomentella. RNAcentral's name for it is "sequence contains ITS2". Lineage: Eukaryota; Fungi; Basidiomycota; Agaricomycetes; Thelephorales; Thelephoraceae. The record is from RNAcentral.